This 484-nucleotide ribosomal RNA is filed under the name uncultured bacterium. RNAcentral describes it as "partial 16S ribosomal RNA". It matches the Rfam family "Bacterial small subunit ribosomal RNA", at positions 30 to 507 of the family's 1533-position model. The record is from RNAcentral.
AUUGAACGCUGGCGGCAGGCCUAACACAUGCAAGUCGAGCGGAUGAAGGGAGCUUGCUCCUGGAUUCAGCGGCGGACGGGUGAGUAAUGCCUAGGAAUCUGCCUGGUAGUGGGGGAUAACGUCCGGAAACGGGCGCUAAUACCGCAUACGUCCUGAGGGAGAAAGUGGGGGAUCUUCGGACCUCACGCUAUCAGAUGAGCCUAGGUCGGAUUAGCUAGUUGGUGGGGUAAAGGCCUACCAAGGCGACGAUCCGUAACUGGUCUGAGAGGAUGAUCAGUCACACUGGAACUGAGACACGGUCCAGACUCCUACGGGAGGCAGCAGAGGGGAAUAUUGGACAAUGGGCGAAAACCUGAUCCAGCCAUGCCGCGUGUGUGAAGAAGGUCUUCGGAUUGUAAAGCACUUUAAGUUGGGAGGAAGGGCAGUAAGUUAAUACCUUGCUGUUUUGACGUUACCAACAGAAUAAGCACCGGCUAACUUCGUG